GAGUAGAACUGUAUUUGAGACAUGGAAACUCCUAUCUUAUAUACAAAAAGCAUUGUUUUUACCUGGCUGAGCUCCAGUUCUGCUUCCUGGGUGAUUGGGACCAUCCUCCACAUCCUGUAUGGACUGGGGCUCUUCCUCCUGUUCCUUCCCUCCCUCCAGAGGAAUUUGCCCUUACAACCACCUUACACAGGGAGAAAUGUCAGGAAGCAUCAAGUGGAGCCAAGAGGGAGGAGCAGCAGGAGCAGGAAGAAAAGGGGACCUUUGAAAGCUUACAGAGCUGGCCAGAAGGACCUGGCAGAAGUGCGGG
This 307-nucleotide long non-coding RNA is filed under the name Equus caballus (horse). RNAcentral describes it as "lncRNA (ENSECAG00000053420.1)". Lineage: Eukaryota; Metazoa; Chordata; Mammalia; Perissodactyla; Equidae. The record is from RNAcentral.